UCGGCCAUACUAUGCUGAAUAUACCGGUUCUCGUUCGAUCACCGAAGUUAAGCAUCAUCAGACGCUGUUAGUAGUUGGGAUGAUGAACUGGGAACAUCUAGUACCGUU
Caerostris darwini is the source of this 108-nucleotide non-coding RNA. NCBI's taxonomy places the organism in Eukaryota, Metazoa, Arthropoda, Arachnida, Araneae, Araneidae. The record is from the annotation of a GenBank genome assembly.